This 236-nucleotide ribosomal RNA is filed under the name Escherichia coli. RNAcentral describes it as "partial 23S ribosomal RNA". It matches the Rfam family "Bacterial large subunit ribosomal RNA", at positions 2126 to 2361 of the family's 2925-position model. The record is from RNAcentral. Lineage: Bacteria; Pseudomonadati; Pseudomonadota; Gammaproteobacteria; Enterobacterales; Enterobacteriaceae.
GUGUAUAAGAGACAGGGAUAGGUGCGAGGUUUUGAAGUGUGGACGCCAGUCUGCAUGGAGCCGACCUUGAAAUACCACCCUUUAAUGUUUGAUGUUCUAACGUUGGCCCGUAAUCCGGGUCGCGGACAGUGUCUGGUGGGUAGUUUGACUGGGGCGGUCUCCUCCUAAAGAGUAACGGAGGAGCAGGAAGGUUGGCUAAUCCUGGUCGGACAUCAGGAGGGUAGUGCAAUGGCAUA